UGAGGAAUAUUGGUCAAUGGGCGGGAGCCUGAACCAGCCAAGUCGCGUGAGGGACGACGGUCCUAUGGAUUGUAAACCUCUUUUGUCGGGGAACAAAGGCGCCCACGGGUGGGCGGAUGAGUGUACCCGAAGAAAAAGCAUCGGCUAACUCCGUGCCAGCAGCCGCGGUAAUACGGAGGAUGCGAGCGUUAUCCGGAUUUAUUGGGUUUAAAGGGUGCGUAGGCGGACGGUCAAGUCAGCGGUAAAAAUGCGGUGCUCAACGCCGUACAGCCGUUGAAACUGGCAGUCUUGAGUGGGCGAGAAGUAUGCGGAAUGCGUGGUGUAGCGGUGAAAUGCAUAGAUAUCACGCAGAACUCCGAUUGCGAAGGCAGCAUACCGGCGCCCGACUGACGCUGAGGCACGAAAGCGUGGGUAUCGAACAGG
This 423-nucleotide ribosomal RNA is filed under the name uncultured bacterium. RNAcentral describes it as "bacterial SSU rRNA". It matches the Rfam family "Bacterial small subunit ribosomal RNA", at positions 355 to 776 of the family's 1533-position model. The record is from RNAcentral.